AUCACCUGAAGUAGUGGUUUGAAUAUGAUUAUAUAUGUUAUCUAAAUGAAUGGGACCUUUAGUCUGAGUUAUUCUUUGACCCUAAAUAAUAAUAAACCAAGGGCAUGGGAGUGCCUAAUCAAUGAUUAACUUAUUUUAAUUUUACUUUUACUUUAAAAUUGAUCCUUGAAUACAACUUUUGUUCCAGGUGAAGACUCAGGUACAGUUUAAGCUAAUUAAUUGAUUUUUAUAAGGACAUAGAUUUUUGUCUGUGAGCACUGGAUGUGUGCUAAUUGUUAUCUCGGGUUUUCAAUGAAACCUUAUUAAACAAUUGGACAAAUGAAGUCUUAUAUUUAUGUAACCCAGAUCUCCUGGGCCUGAGUUCGUAAACACAAAAAAAAAUGAAUAUGAUCUCAGAAGAAUAUUUGAAACGAAUCUUAUCUUUUGUUUAAAUUCCUCUAAUUAAUAUUAAAGACCACCACAACUGUAUUUUAAAAGUCAAAACCUUCACAGGUGUUUAUUUACAAUAGGAAAUAAAUGAAAAGGCUGUGAAUUCCUCUCAGGAAGUAAAAUAUUUACAAAACAAAAUAAAUGCACAAAAUAAAAUACAGGGUCUCUUUAAAUUGUUUAAACUGUUCCUUUGACUUCUCAAUUUACCCUUUAAUUCACUGGUUAAAUAAAAUCUUUACCUUUCACAGGUCUCUGAAUAAAAACAAACACAAUUCCUAUCAACUGUAAAUUAACUCACAAACAUCACAUGUGGGCCCACUUCAGAAAUGAUCAACUUGAAACUUAGUUGCAGGCCUGUAGUGAUGCUCGGGUGCGGUGAGGCCUGAAAACUGAGUGGCCACUUCACUCAAUCAAGAGCAUAAAAUAAAAGCACGUGCAUUGUCAUAUCAGUUCGAUACUCACAGGUCCAAAACGAGGAGCAAUGGGGCAACGACAGUCACAGAAAGGGGUGAUGGCAGUCACAAUCCGAACACAGGCAGCACACACAGUGGCGAAAAUCCAGGGAAGAAUAAAACAGCAGGGUCCAUCCACCAGCAACCAUCUCAGUUUCUCUCUCUCUUCACAGACGUCCGUCUCCUUUAAUUACAUGAACUCUUUUGAGCCAUAAUAUCAUCACGCUAAAUCGUACUGACUUAACGUUAGCCCGUUUUAGCAUUGAAAACAACAGUGCUAAAGCUAAGAUAUACAGACACAUUUCAACCUUUCGAAUUGGCUCUCCUACAACUGAACCAGAACCCCUCCCCUCCCACUCCUCCCCCUCCUGCAUUCUGGAAGGUCCCAGCAGCUGCUUUGGUAAAUUUCACUGUUGACUUAAUAACAUACUUUCAGUAAAAAUGUAAAUGUGCCUUGAUUUGUUCAUGUAAGUGCAUUUAGCAAUUAAAAAUUCAGAAAGUUAGCAAACACAUGCACAUGCAGAAUAUAAAUGUCCAUUAGAAAUGUAAAAUAACGUGGGAUCUGUCACAUGUUUAAUGUCACAUUUAAAGUAAAUGGCGGUAAGUUGUCCUGAUCAUGGGAAGCUAUGGUGGAGGGGUAGAGCGGUUACCAGAAGGGUAGCAGUUCAAUCCCCAGUUUGCCUCAUCUGCAUGCUGAAGUGUCCUUGAAUAGAAAAAAAAAGUUCUGCUAAUAGACGCACUGUAUGAAUGUGUGUGAACGACAAUGAAUGGCAAACUGUAGUGUAAAGCGCUCUGAGUGGUCAUCAAGAUUAGAAAAGCUCUAUAUGAAUACAAACCAUUUACCAUCACUUGUCAUCCUCUCCCUGUCAGAGGCCGGAGAGAAGUGAGGAAAGGCAUGGGCACAAUAAAGAUAGGCAUGCUGCAGAUCAUUGCAACCAACCUCCACCACCAUGGUAGUCAAUAAUUACCAUCUCUCCUGAAGUACUGUGGUUUCAUUUCUGUCCGGGUGUAUUUGUCAACCUAAAUGAGCUGAAACCAACACCAAGGUUACUGGCAGCACUGCUUGCACACAGCAACACAGCCAUUCACCCAAUCAAGUUUACCUGGGUUUUAGUCAAGGUAUAUAUGCUUCAGUGGGAUACAGCUGACAGGCCUAAUGGUCAAUUCCUUUUGAAUUGACCAAUUGACCUUAGGAACAAAUCAUUUAACCAGUACUUCACAUACUGCGAAGUAACACUAUGAACUGAAAAACAUUAGAUGCACAAGUUACCAUGUAAAAUAAACACUAUAUAACAAGAAAACAAUGGUAGCCUUGUCAUAGCACCACAUUACACCGCUUACACAUAUAUAAAGUUUUACCUUAAACAGACCAUUAGUUUUAGCCAUUAAUUUUCAACAAUAUUUUAUAGUAUUAAACAGUAUAGU
RNAcentral lists this unclassified non-coding RNA (2306 nucleotides) under Hevea brasiliensis (rubber tree). Lineage: Eukaryota; Viridiplantae; Streptophyta; Magnoliopsida; Malpighiales; Euphorbiaceae. The record is from RNAcentral.